Molecule: ribosomal RNA, 253 nt
Filed under: uncultured bacterium
Lineage: Bacteria
Description: partial 16S ribosomal RNA
Rfam family: Bacterial small subunit ribosomal RNA
Source: RNAcentral
UACAGAGGGUGCAAGCGUUGUUCGGAAUUAUUGGGCGUAAAGCGCGUGUAGGCGGCUUAGCAAGUCGGGCGUGAAAGCCCUCGGCUCAACCGAGGAAGUGCACCCGAAACUGCUGAGCUUGAGUGCCGGAGAGGAUGGCGGAAUUCCCCAAGUAGAGGUGAAAUUCGUAGAUAUGGGGAGGAACACCGGUGGCGAAGGCGGCCAUCUGGACGGAUACUGACGCUGAGACGCGAAAGCGUGGGUAGCAAACAGG